CAUCGAUGCAAAUAAACAGCAAAGGCAGCUGAUCGCAGAGCUAGAGAACAAGAACAGAGAAAUCUUACAAGAGAUCCAGAGACUUCGGGUAGAGCAUGAGCAAGCUUCUCAGCCCACACCCGAGAAGGCUCAGCAGAACCCGACCUUGCUGGCAGAACUCCGGCUCCUCAGACAGCGCAAGGACGAGCUAGAACAGAGGAUGUCUGCUCUCCAGGAGAGCCGGAGAGAGCUGAUGGUCCAGUUGGAAGGUCUCAUGAAGCUCUUGAAGACCCAGGGGGCAGGCUCUCCACGCUCUUCCCCCAGCCACACCAUCAGCAGGCCGAUCCCCAUGCCCAUCCGGUCGACGUCUGCCUGUUCCACACCAGCGUACACCCCACAGGACUCCCUCACUGGGGUAGGGGGA
Molecule: long non-coding RNA, 403 nt
Filed under: Rattus norvegicus (Norway rat)
Lineage: Eukaryota; Metazoa; Chordata; Mammalia; Rodentia; Muridae
Description: long non-coding RNA NONRATT013246
Source: RNAcentral